GGGGAUGUAGCUCAGUGGUAGAGCAUAUGCUUUGCAUGCAUGAGGUCCUGGGUCCAAUCCCCAGCUUCUCCA
This 72-nucleotide transfer RNA is filed under the name Xenopus laevis (African clawed frog). It matches the Rfam family "tRNA". Rfam says of the family: Transfer RNA (tRNA) molecules are approximately 80 nucleotides in length. The record is from Rfam by way of RNAcentral. Lineage: Eukaryota; Metazoa; Chordata; Amphibia; Anura; Pipidae.